This 253-nucleotide ribosomal RNA is filed under the name uncultured bacterium. RNAcentral describes it as "partial 16S ribosomal RNA". It matches the Rfam family "Bacterial small subunit ribosomal RNA", at positions 524 to 776 of the family's 1533-position model. The record is from RNAcentral.
UACGUAGGGGGCUAGCGUUGUCCGGAAUCAUUGGGCGUAAAGAGCGUGUAGGCGGUCCGGUAAGUCCGUUGUGAAAGUCAGGGGCUCAACCCUUGAAUGCCGGCGGAUACUGUCGGGCUAGAGUCCGGAAGAGGCGAGUGGAAUUCCCGGUGUAGCGGUGAAAUGCGCAGAUAUCGGGAAGAACACCCGUGGCGAAGGCGGUUCUCUGGGACGGUACUGACGCUGAGACGCGAAAGCGUGGGGAGCGAACAGG